Molecule: long non-coding RNA, 989 nt
Organism: Oncorhynchus tshawytscha (Chinook salmon)
Lineage: Eukaryota; Metazoa; Chordata; Actinopteri; Salmoniformes; Salmonidae
Exons: 3
Source: RefSeq, a predicted model, not a curated record
GUAUUAUUAUUAUUAUUAUUAUUAUUUACUAUUAUCAUUAUUAUUGUUGUUAUCAUAACUAUCAAACUUAACAACCUACUCUUUCUUAUCUUACAGUAGAUUGCAAUGGAAGCACAGUGUGAUUUCACUGAGGUGUGUAUAAAUUCUUAAAUUCUCAUCACCAGUGGACAUAAGUUUUUUUGGGAUCCACAUCCGAUUGUGUGAUUUUCUUUUUCAAUGGAAAACAUGCAGCAAAUUAGGCGAUGGUGGUGCCUAGUUCUCCUGCAGAACUUUCCAAUGCCGUAAGUCUUGAACAAUAUAAAAACGUUUGCAUCCUUGCCAGACUGACCUGAAUAUAUUUUCAUAUUGAAUGUACUGUAUGUCUUUCACUAACUAAGUUCUGAAGUAGAGAGAUGGAAAGAUUGAAAAAGGUGGCGGAAACAAAACACACUACAGGUAGGAGGUGUCAUAUGAUGAGUGGUAUAGUCUUAAACCAAUGUUUAAAGACCCCCCCCUUCCUCUCCAAUAUAUUUCAGGAUGAUGUAGAAGACGUCCCCCAAGAAGUCACAGCAUGUCACAUCAGCAUCCAGCUCUGCAGGAUCAGACAAUAGAAAUCUGUGAACUGGGAUGCAGACGUUCGUCUAAGGGACACCCUAGAAGCAGCAAGGUGGUGCGAACACCAAACAUUUAAAGGCACCAUUUCCCUCCUUAGAGUAAUUGGGAUGGACAGGGAAGACCAUAUUACAACCCUUAAAGAACUUUGUAUGAUGGCCUGGAUGAAGAGGAAAAUAUUAUCCUCAAGGAACCAUUCAUGUUCUCGUUCCAGUUACAAGGAGAGAUGUUCUAUGUUGAGGCAGUUGACUACAAGAAAAUUACUGUCUCUGCCUCUUUUGAGGAGCAAGAGUGAAGCCAUUUUUGAGGAGUGGUCAAACCUUGUUUUUGUCUGCUGUGUUAUUUGUUUCAAUUGUUUAAUUGUGUUAUUUUGUUUAGUAAAGAUGAUGUAGAAGUCA